GCACCCAUGAGCUAGCGGCCAAGGCUACGCGGCUUUCAAUCGCGUCAUCGCCGGUUCGAAUCCGGCUGGGUGCACCA
This 77-nucleotide transfer RNA is filed under the name Deltaproteobacteria bacterium. RNAcentral describes it as "tRNA-Glu". It matches the Rfam family "tRNA". Rfam says of the family: Transfer RNA (tRNA) molecules are approximately 80 nucleotides in length. RNAcentral also lists the same sequence under 1 other name. The record is from RNAcentral. Lineage: Bacteria; Pseudomonadati; Myxococcota; Myxococcia.